Molecule: non-coding RNA, 24 nt
Filed under: Arabidopsis thaliana (thale cress)
Lineage: Eukaryota; Viridiplantae; Streptophyta; Magnoliopsida; Brassicales; Brassicaceae
Source: RNAcentral
ACUAGCAGAAGGGUGAAGUGGUCA